AUGUAUAGUGGAGUAAAAGUUGUCCUCCACAUCCGGCUGGAAUGGAUAGCCCAGACCCUUUCCUCACCCUGCCGGUUUUCACCGUCGAAAAUCACCCACACGCCGCUGCCCGUGCGGAAGAAAAGGCUGGGAAUGAAAAAAACACACCGAGUUCAAGCUCCUCCUCCAAUCGCCACAAUGGCCUCCGGGGUGGCCACUGCCUCUCCAGCAAUGGCCCACCGCCUUCCCGCCGCUCCCGCCGGAGCUAAACGAGCUCGAAAGCCAACGGCGGCGGCGGCGGCGCUCGCUGAGGCGGCCGCGAAGAAGAAGAUGAAGAAGGACAUAACGACGCCUUGUCCGUGA
This 342-nucleotide ribosomal RNA is filed under the name Triticum aestivum (bread wheat). RNAcentral's name for it is "partial small subunit ribosomal RNA". The record is from RNAcentral. Lineage: Eukaryota; Viridiplantae; Streptophyta; Magnoliopsida; Poales; Poaceae.